UACGUAGGGUGCAAGCGUUAAUCGGAAUUACUGGGCGUAAAGCGUGCGCAGGCGGUUGUGCAAGACCGAUGUGAAAUCCCCGGGCUUAACCUGGGAAUGGCAUUGGUGGCUGCACGGCUAGAGUGUGUCAGAGGGGGGUAGAAUUCCACGUGUAGCAGUGAAAUGCGUAGAGAUGUGGAGGAAUACCGAUGGCGAAGGCAGCCCCCUGGGAUAACACUGACGCUCAUGCACGAAAGCGUGGGGAGCAAACAGG
This 253-nucleotide ribosomal RNA is filed under the name uncultured bacterium. Its description in RNAcentral is "partial 16S ribosomal RNA". It matches the Rfam family "Bacterial small subunit ribosomal RNA", at positions 524 to 776 of the family's 1533-position model. The record is from RNAcentral.